GGAUUAGAUACCCUGGUAGUCCACGCCGUAAACGAUGUCAACUAGCUGUCUGUGAACUUGAUUCGUGGGUAGCGUAGCUAACGCGCUAAGUUGACCGCCUGGGGAGUACGGCCGCAAGGUUAAAACUCAAAUGAAUUGACGGGGGCCCGCACAAGCGGUGGAGCAUGUGGUUUAAUUCGAUGCAACGCGAAGAACCUUACCAUCCCUUGACAUCCAGAGAACUUACUAGAGAUAGUUUGGUGCCUUCGGGAACUCUGAGACAGGUGCUGCAUGGCUGUCGUCAGCUCGUGCCG
This 293-nucleotide ribosomal RNA is filed under the name uncultured bacterium. RNAcentral's name for it is "partial 16S ribosomal RNA". It matches the Rfam family "Bacterial small subunit ribosomal RNA", at positions 775 to 1067 of the family's 1533-position model. The record is from RNAcentral.